CAGGAAGCUAUCCUAUUGGUUGAAAUUCUGUCACACCAUCGCAAUUGUCUCGAAGUUCACGAAUCUUAACAAUAUGCAAAUCUGAUCAACGUUUACACAUGAAGGAACAACAAUGCUGAGAAGGUUGAAUAACAAGCUCAAAAUGAUAGAUUUUAGGGUUACGUUUUCCAACUACACUAUUUUAGUCCUCGGGAUCCAUGUUUUGGAUUGAGUGGACAAAAACGCAUGUGACCACGUUUUGGAGACAAGWCAACUUACUUAUUCCAAAGAAACGGUUUGAAGGUACUUUCUCAUUACCCUCGCCUCUUUCCUGUACUUGGUUGAACAGCAGCAGUUGUAUAAUGUCAUACACCAUUCUAAGCAACUCGUACAAGGCCCUCAGUAGGGUUAUCAGUGGUACAAUAACAGCUUCGUUUGGAUCAGUACUCAUCGUGUUUACUGCUGUGGUGUAGUGGCAGUACGUACGAUGAAAUAUGAUGAAAGCCUGCUGUCUUGUAUUCUCAUACUAUUUAUAUACCGCGUAAAUGAGGCGUGAUCUGAUCCCUUAUUGGUAGAUUAGUACGUUACGUAUGGUUUGUUUCGUCGCCCCGCCAGGUCAAAUUAAUUACUGCUGUGAAUUAAUUUUUAUGAGAAAGCACAGUGACAAGCAUCAGAUAGGGUUGUUUUGAUGGGUCAAGCAUCAGAUAGGUAACUUUUUACAAGUCGUGGCGUGUUUAUGAAAAUUGCAGUAACGCAUGCGCGCAAUUGAAAGAAAUUUUUAAAAUACGUACGAGAAAUUCAUGGCGUGGAGUUUAGAAUGAAUUAGUGACGAAUACAAAACAUCCAUGACAAAUAGAAAACACGUAUGUUGGAACCUUGAUUCUGAGCAUGUAAAUGACGAAAUAUCAAUAUAAAAUAAUCUGCUAGAUUUUGAAAUUCAUGUGAUGAACUUCAAGUUCUCAUAACCAUCCAUUUUGGCGAGGAUGGUACUUACGCCUUAGGGGAAACACAGAGGAGGUUCCACUAGUAUCCCAGAAUGCAUUGUGUUUGAUACUAGAUGAUGGCUAGUGAACACUAGCGUGGACUGCGUCGGUGUUUCUAAUGAAACAAGUUAUCGUAGAAUUAUAAGUUGAACACCGUAGUGAAAUCGAGGAAGAGACGUGUCGCUCUUGUUCCAACAACGAGUGACAACUCUUCGAUGGAUUACUUGUUCAAUAACGUCCGUAGCCCAGCUCUUAUUCACCUUACUUCAACAUCUAGUAUAGGAGUAAGUAAGGUUUAUUAAAUAUUUUUGUUUUGUAUGAAAUGGGCAAAAAAUAUCAUACAUUUUGCCAUAAAUUCUCGUAAAUAUACUUCAAUUGUUACUGUCCAAAAGACUAUAAAUCAUGGGUCACUUUUGGUCAUUUCAAGAUUUUGCUUUUCCUAAAUAUCUGAAUUACACAUAUUUGUUGCUUAAACUUAAAAUACUCAAAUAUGUGAAAAGCAGCAAUUACUUGAUGUACCAUAUAAAAUCCAAUAUGACAUCAGGUAUGACACCACGUGACAAAGUGAACUCGAGCGAUAUAACUCUUACAAUUGGCGCAAAUCCAAACAAAUAUGUAUGUAGAUUAAGAGUAUUUCUAAUAAACAAUACAAGUUCAUGAGUUUUUACCUCGAACAGGUCACGUAACGGCUGAUACGGAAAGUUAAAGUCGCACACCGCUACACACGAGUAGAAAGCGACGCCAUAUUGGAAAACGAAACUCGCAAAGUAACUUGGGAUACUAGUGUAUCCUCAUCUGGGGGAAACUCCUAAUCAGAAAUUACCGAUUAGUUAUUAUUAUAAUAUUCUGUCACGCCAUCUCACUUGUCAAGUAUGCAAAUCUGAUACGGUCAUACUAGUACUGCAGGGUGAAAUGUUUUACAUUUUCACAUUGCUUAUGAUGGAAACGGCAUAUGAUUGGAUUUGGUUCAAAACACCUAGAAAUAUUCUAGGAAUUUUUAUUCCAGUCGCCCAUGUGAGCUGACUUGGCUGGUUAGUUUUGAUUUCUUUUACCUUUCUGUUAUAUUUACAUGGAAGACACGGUUCGUAAUUCCAUUACGUCAUCUCAUUCGCAUACGAAAUAGGGAUACGGAUAGAAGAUCAUUUUAGUGUCCUCGAUUGGUURUCACUAGAAACUAAAUCCAAUGACGUAUAAAUUAUUAAAAAAAAGAAAAAUCAUUUUGUUUAACCGUGUAGAGUAUUUAUACAAACCGAUCAUUUGAUUUGCUUUCUUUAAAGAAUAAUAAAUGUUUAGUAAUAAAAACCUCAAUUACGAA
This is an RNA transcript of Actinia tenebrosa (Australian red waratah sea anemone), 2277 nucleotides long. RefSeq lists it as uncharacterized. The record is from RefSeq and is a predicted model, not a curated record. Lineage: Eukaryota; Metazoa; Cnidaria; Anthozoa; Actiniaria; Actiniidae.